CGGGAUGUAGCGCAGUUUGGUAGCGCAUCUGUUUUGGGAACAGAAGGUCGCAGGUUCGAAUCCUGUCAUCCCGA
Molecule: transfer RNA, 74 nt
Filed under: Neocystis brevis
Lineage: Eukaryota; Viridiplantae; Chlorophyta; Chlorophyceae; Sphaeropleales; Radiococcaceae
Description: tRNA-Pro
Rfam family: tRNA
About the family: Transfer RNA (tRNA) molecules are approximately 80 nucleotides in length. Their secondary structure includes four short double-helical elements and three loops (D, anti-codon, and T loops). Further hydrogen bonds mediate the characteristic L-shaped molecular structure. tRNAs have two regions of fundamental functional importance: the anti-codon, which is responsible for specific mRNA codon recognition, and the 3' end, to which the tRNAs corresponding amino acid is attached (by aminoacyl-tRNA synthetases). tRNAs cope with the degeneracy of the genetic code in two manners: having more than one tRNA (with a specific anti-codon) for a particular amino acid; and 'wobble' base-pairing, i.e. permitting non-standard base-pairing at the 3rd anti-codon position.
Source: RNAcentral